CCCGUACGCUGGGGGUGCCCGCCGGAACGUUGUUCGUAUAUCAGCGGGCUGAGAUAUACCCUUUGCACCUGAUCCGGACAAUACCGGCGGAGGAAAGCUGCGGUGGACGCAA
Molecule: non-coding RNA, 112 nt
Filed under: Gammaproteobacteria bacterium
Lineage: Bacteria; Pseudomonadati; Pseudomonadota; Gammaproteobacteria
Also listed under: 1 other name
Description: TPP sequence
Rfam family: TPP riboswitch aptamer (THI element)
About the family: Vitamin B(1) in its active form thiamin pyrophosphate (TPP) is an essential coenzyme that is synthesised by coupling of pyrimidine and thiazole moieties in bacteria. The previously detected thiamin-regulatory element, thi box was extended, resulting in a new, highly conserved RNA secondary structure, the THI element, which is widely distributed in eubacteria and also occurs in some archaea. Analysis of operon structures identified a large number of new candidate thiamin-regulated genes, mostly transporters, in various prokaryotic organisms.
Source: RNAcentral